UACACUCCUGCGGGAGGCAGCAGUGGGGAAUAUUGGACAAUGGGCGCAAGCCUGAUCCAGCCAUGCCGCGUGAGUGAUGAAGGCCCUAGGGUUGUAAAGCUCUUUCACCGGUGAAGAUAAUGACGGUAACCGGAGAAGAAGCCCCGGCUAACUUCGUGCCAGCAGCCGCGGUAAUACGAAGGGGGCUAGCGUUGUUCGGAUUUACUGGGCGUAAAGCGCACGUAGGCGGACUAUUAAGUCAGGGGUGAAAUCCCGGGGCUCAACCCCGGAACUGCCUUUGAUACUGGUAGUCUUGAGUUCGAGAGAGGUGAGUGGAAUUCCGAGUGUAGAGGUGAAAUUCGUAGAUAUUCGGAGGAACACCAGUGGCGAAGGCGGCUCACUGGCUCGAUACUGACGCUGAGGUGCGAAAGCGUGGGGAGCAAACAGGAUUAGAUACCCGGGUAGUCCCAUGAU
Molecule: ribosomal RNA, 453 nt
Filed under: uncultured organism
Description: partial 16S ribosomal RNA
Rfam family: Bacterial small subunit ribosomal RNA
Source: RNAcentral